This 251-nucleotide ribosomal RNA is filed under the name uncultured bacterium. RNAcentral's name for it is "partial 16S ribosomal RNA". It matches the Rfam family "Bacterial small subunit ribosomal RNA", at positions 525 to 775 of the family's 1533-position model. The record is from RNAcentral.
ACGUAGGGAGCAAGCGUUGUCCGGAUUCACUGGGCGUAAAGAGCACGUAGGCGGUUAAUUAAGUCAGGUGUGAAAGUUUUCGGCUCAACCGGAAAAGUGCACUUGAAACUGGAUAACUUGAGUAUCGGAGAGGUAAGCGGAAUUCCUAGUGUAGCGGUGAAAUGCGUAGAGAUUAGGAAGAACACCGGUGGCGAAGGCGGCUUACUGGACGAUAACUGACGCUGAGGUGCGAAAGCGUGGGGAGCGAACAG